UUGAUAGUACCUUACUACUUGGAUAACCGUGGUAAUUCUAGAGCUAAUACAUGCUAAAAACCCCAACUUCGGGAGGGGUGUAUUUAUUAGAUAAAAAACCAAUGCCCUUCGGGGCUCCUUGGUGAUUCAUGAUAACUUCUCAGAUCGCAUGGCUUUACGCCGGCGACGGUUCAUUCAAAUUUCUGCCCUAUCAACUUUCGAUGGUAAGGUAGUGGCUUACCAUGGUUUCAACGGGUAACGGGGAAUUAGGGUUCGAUUCCGGAGAGGGAGCCUGAGAAACGGCUACCACAUCCAAGGAAGGCAGCAGGCGCGCAAAUUACCCAAUUCCGAUACGGAGAGGUAGUGACAAUAAAUACUGAUACAGGGCUCUUUUGGGUCUUGUAAUUGGAAUGAGUACAAUUUAAACCUCUUAACGAGGAACAAUUGGAGGGCAAGUCUGGUGCCAGCAGCCGCGGUAAUUCCAGCUCCAAUAGCGUAUAUUAAAGUUGUUGCAGUUAAAAAGCUCGUAGUUGAACCUUUGGCCUGGCUGGCAGGUCCGCCUCACCGCGUGCACUUGUCCGGCCGGGCCUUUUCUUCUGGAGAACCGCAUGCCCUUCACUGGGUGUGUUGGGGACCAGGACUUUUACUUUGAAAAAAUUAGAGUGUUCAAAGCAGGCCUUUGCUCGAAUACGUUAGCAUGGAAUAAUAGAAUAGGACGUGCGGUCCUAUUUUGUUGGUUUCUAGGACCGCCGUAAUGAUUAAUAGGGACAGUCGGGGGCAUCAGUAUUCAAUUGUCAGAGGUGAAAUUCUUGGAUUUAUUGAAGACUAAC
This 809-nucleotide ribosomal RNA is filed under the name Pseudopithomyces chartarum. RNAcentral describes it as "SSU rRNA". It matches the Rfam family "Eukaryotic small subunit ribosomal RNA", at positions 121 to 940 of the family's 1831-position model. Lineage: Eukaryota; Fungi; Ascomycota; Dothideomycetes; Pleosporales; Didymosphaeriaceae. The record is from RNAcentral.